RNAcentral lists this ribosomal RNA (391 nucleotides) under uncultured Brevibacterium sp. RNAcentral's name for it is "bacterial SSU rRNA". It matches the Rfam family "Bacterial small subunit ribosomal RNA", at positions 505 to 894 of the family's 1533-position model. Lineage: Bacteria; Bacillati; Actinomycetota; Actinomycetes; Micrococcales; Brevibacteriaceae. The record is from RNAcentral.
GUGCCAGCCGCGGCGGUAAUACGUAGGGUACGAGCGUUGUCCGGAAUUAUUGGGCGUAAAGAGCUCGUAGGUGGUUGGUCACGUCUGCUGUGGAAACGCAACGCUUAACGUUGCGCGGGCAGUGGGUACGGGCUGACUAGAGUGCAGUAGGGGAGUCUGGAAUUCCUGGUGUAGCGGUGAAAUGCGCAGAUAUCAGGAGGAACACCGGUGGCGAAGGCGGGACUCUGGGCUGUAACUGACACUGAGGAGCGAAAGCAUGGGAGCGAACAGGAUUAGAUACCCUGGUAGUCCAUGCCGUAAACGUUGGGCACUAGGUGUGGGGGCAUUCCACGUUCUCCGCGCCGUAGCUAACGCCAUUAAGUGCCCCGCCUGGGACGUACGGUCGCAAGGC